UAGAGUAGGGAAUCUUCCACAAUGGACGCAAGUCUGAUGGAGCAACGCCGCGUGAGUGAAGAAGGUUUUCGGAUCGUAAAGCUCUGUUGUUGGUGAAGAAAGAUAGUGAGAGUAACUGCUCAUUAUUUGCCGGUAAUCAACCAGAAAGUCACGGCUAACUACGUG
This 165-nucleotide ribosomal RNA is filed under the name uncultured Lactobacillus sp. Its description in RNAcentral is "partial 16S ribosomal RNA". It matches the Rfam family "Bacterial small subunit ribosomal RNA", at positions 350 to 507 of the family's 1533-position model. Lineage: Bacteria; Bacillati; Bacillota; Bacilli; Lactobacillales; Lactobacillaceae. The record is from RNAcentral.